RNAcentral lists this long non-coding RNA (232 nucleotides) under Trifolium pratense (red clover). Its description in RNAcentral is "long non-coding RNA (TPRA_LNC010803)". The record is from RNAcentral. Lineage: Eukaryota; Viridiplantae; Streptophyta; Magnoliopsida; Fabales; Fabaceae.
AUUAGUUCAUAAGUAUAUUUCAAAAUAAAUAUAAUUAUUUAAUUAAAUAUGUUCAUAUGAAAUAGGCUUUUAAACAGGCUAACAGGCCACAUCAGACUUUCAAAAGGCCAGGCUCAGGCCUAGAAUUUAAGCCUAUGAUAGGCCACAGGUCAGGCUCAGACUUUCGAUUUUUUGACAGGCCAGGCUCAGGCUUGGCAAAGCCUAGCUCGGCCUAGCCUAUUCCCACCUCUAC